GGAAUCUGGCUGAUUCCCCAAUCAUGACGGCUUGCGUUCAGAUUGUUUUGGGGACGAUAAAAACUUGCCUUCCAUGCUUGGAAUACCAGAGGUCCCUCCUACCCUACUGGGCCUACCCUUCCCUGAAUAAAGAAUGCAUCUCCCGGAGCAGCUCGGAGAGAGAUGGUUAGGAGCCACAGCUCCUCCCAACACUGACGCCCUCAUACCGCUCAUUUUACAUGGAGUGUUUUACCCUCCGUGGAUGGUAGAGAAGAGCUGGGGAGGAGUGGCCUGCUGCGUGGCUCUGGAGGAUGGAUGCAUCACUGCACACUGCUAUGGUGAACCCCCUUCUUGUCACUCCCGCUCCCGCUCUUCCCCCCUGGUGCUCGAGGGCGCCAGGCUGUCCUGCAUAACGCACUGCUGCCACCAUCAUUACGCACACCUACCUUCCCUCGUCAUGUGCAUCAGCGAUUAUUGGACUCACCUGGACUCAAUCACCUCUGUCAUGACCUUCCCUAUAUCUGUCUGGUUCCCCACUCUGUUUCCUGCUUUUGCAUUGAUUGUGAUAUGUCCUCGUUUACCCGUGUGCCUACGAUGUUCCUGUCCGAUUACCUGUCUGUUCCUCAUUAAAUGUUCAACUCCCUGUACCUGCUUCUCACCCCUGGCGUCGGUCCUUACACUUCUAAACAAAAGGAAUCUAGAUUCUUCAGCUCUUAGCAAUUUUCAGCCAAUCUCCAACCUUCCAUUCUUAAGAAAAAUUCUGAAGAAACUCAUGUUCAAACAGGUAAAUCAUUUUUUAAGUGCCAACUGUAUUUUUGAAAAAAAUUCCAAUCUGUUUUUUCGUGCCCAGCACAGAGACAACCUUGGUUGAAGUGGUACAUGAUCUUAGAUUUACGUCCUCUGUACAGCACUGUUGACCAUGAUGUUCUGGACAAACUGGAGAGCUGGGUUGGCCUCUCCGGUCCAGUUCUAAAUUGGUUUCAGACCUAUUUGUCGCCCUUGGUGAACAGAACUCAAGAGAAAAUACAUACCACAGGGUUCGAUGUUGGUUCAGGUAGUGUUCAGCUUAUAUAUAUUACCUCUUGUCAGCGUUAUCAGAAAGCACAGCAUUGAUUUUCACUGCUACGCACACGAUACACAACUGUACAUUUCUGUGUAACCAGAGGAUUUUGAACUACAUUUUAAAUCACACAUCAGGUAUGUGACCAAAAUGGCUUUUUACCACCUGAGGAACAUUGCCAACGUGCGGCCGUUUAACGGCACUGGCCCUUUAACUACCCCAAAGCCUAGGACCUAGAAGCAUGGAGAGGCAGCCUUUAGUUAUUUUGCCCCCAGCCUCUGCAAUAGCCUGCCAUAAUCUGAGGUUAAAUACUAGUAUUAGUAAAUAUUUCAGCUUUAAUUUGUAUUGUUUUUUAUUUGUAUUUUCCCUGUGAAGCGCAUUGUGUUGCAUUACGUCAUAAAUGUGAUGUAGAAAUAAAGCUUGAUUUAAUUGAUUAUUAUAGUGCUUGUCCACCAUUUGGUAGAAUCAACCUGAGUGUUCCUGUAGACACAGGAAGUCAGGACUGUGAGCUCCGUACACACAGACAUCAACAUGGAAGUCUGCAAUGUGAGCCUAGUACAGACAAACAGCACCAUGGAAGUCUGCAAUGUGAGCCUAGUACAGACAAACAGCACCAUGACAGUCAAGGAGAAUAUUAUUUUGCUACCAUUAUCUAACCAAUCUAACCAAGUAUUGAAAAUACUUUUUUUUCUUCACAAGUACAACCUGGAAACAUUGUUCUUACUGGUUGUUGAGGAGAAAUACAACACAAGAAAAACAACAGCGUUUGACAUUUCUAAGGAUGAUCUUUGACUAUUUCUUCCAUGCCCCAUCUUCAAGAUGCAGCAUGCCAUUUAAUAAUGUAUGCAAUUUAAUAAUGUAUGCAAUUUAAUAAUGUAUGCAAUUUAGCAGAAACUUUAUGAAAGCGUGUUGAUUUCAGCUCACAUAAACCACAGAUGAGAUAAUAUUAAAGUAAACGUAGCAAAUUAAUACCAUGGAAUGGACAGAUGGGGUUUCUAUAU
Molecule: long non-coding RNA, 2040 nt
Organism: Oncorhynchus tshawytscha (Chinook salmon)
Lineage: Eukaryota; Metazoa; Chordata; Actinopteri; Salmoniformes; Salmonidae
Exons: 3
Source: RefSeq, a predicted model, not a curated record